This 690-nucleotide long non-coding RNA is filed under the name Gossypium barbadense (sea-island cotton). Its description in RNAcentral is "long non-coding RNA (GBAR_LNC022233)". The record is from RNAcentral. Lineage: Eukaryota; Viridiplantae; Streptophyta; Magnoliopsida; Malvales; Malvaceae.
UGGAGACUGAACACCAUCCAUCGAGUGGAGGAACUAAAAGCGGUGAUCCGAAUGGGACCAAUAUGGGCAGCAGGAAUCCUCCUCAUCACAGCCUAUGCUCAGCAAAACACAUUCUCCCUCCAACAGGCCAAAACCAUGAACAGGCACCUCACCAAGUCAUUUGAGAUCCCUGCUGGUUCCAUGACUGUCUUCACCAUGGUCUCCAUGCUCUCCACCAUAGCCUUGUAUGACCGUGUUUUGGUCCGCAUUGCCCGUAGAUACACAGGGCUCGACCGGGGCAUCAGCUUCCUGCACCGGAUGGGAAUAGGAUUCAUGAUAUCAGUAUUAGCCACUCUGGUAGCAGGCUUCACGGAAGUGAAGCGUAAAGAAGCGGCUUUAGCACAUGGGCUUCAAGACAAGGCUCAUGCAAUCAUCCCCAUCUCAGUGUUCUGGCUUGUGCCUCAGUACAGUCUUCAUGGAAUAGCGGAGGCAUUCAUGUCGAUUGGACACUUGGAAUUCUUUUAUGAUCAGGCACCUGAAAGCAUGAGGAGUACAGCUACCGCACUGUUUUGGACCGCAAUCUCAGUCGGAAAUUACAUGAGCACGCUGCUGGUUUCUUUAGUACACAAAUUCAGCGCAAGAGCUGAUGGAUCAAAUUGGCUUCCAGAUAACAACUUGAACGAGGGCAAAUUGGAGUACUUUUACUGGUUG